This 253-nucleotide ribosomal RNA is filed under the name uncultured bacterium. RNAcentral describes it as "partial 16S ribosomal RNA". It matches the Rfam family "Bacterial small subunit ribosomal RNA", at positions 524 to 776 of the family's 1533-position model. The record is from RNAcentral.
UACGUAGGGGGCAAGCGUUGUCCGGAAUCAUUGGGCGUAAAGAGCGUGUAGGCGGCCCGGUAAGUCCGCUGUGAAAGUCCAGGGCUCAACCCUGGAAUGCCGGUGGAUACUGCAGGGCUAGAGUCCGGAAGAGGCGAGUGGAAUUCCUGGUGUAGCGGUGAAAUGCGCAGAUAUCAGGAGGAACACCGAUGGCGAAGGCAGCUCGCUGGGACGGUACUGACGCUGAGGCGCGAAAGCGUGGGGAGCAAACAGG